GACGAACGCUGGCGGCGUGCCUAAUACAUGCAAGUAGAACGCUGAAGGAGGAGCUUGCUUCUCUGGAUGAGUUGCGAACGGGUGAGUAACGCGUAGGUAACCUGCCUGGUAGCGGGGGAUAACUAUUGGAAACGAUAGCUAAUACCGCAUAAGAGUAGAUGUCGCAUGACAUUUGCUUAAAAGGUGCAAUUGCAUCACUACCAGAUGGACCUGCGUUGUAUUAGCUAGUUGGUGAGGUAACGGCUCACCAAGGCAACGAUACAUAGCCGACCUGAGAGGGUGAGCGGCCACACUGGGACUGAGACACGGCCCAGACUCCUACGGGAGGCAGCAGUAGGGAAGCUUCGGCAAUGGACGGAAGUCUGACCGAGCAACGCCGCGUGAGUGAAGAAGGUUUUCGGAUCGUAAAGCUCUGUUGUAAGAGAAGAACGAGUGUGAGAGUGGAAAGUUCACACUGUGACGGUAUCUUACCAGAAAGGGACGGCUAACUACGUG
This 495-nucleotide ribosomal RNA is filed under the name uncultured bacterium. Its description in RNAcentral is "partial 16S ribosomal RNA". It matches the Rfam family "Bacterial small subunit ribosomal RNA", at positions 28 to 507 of the family's 1533-position model. The record is from RNAcentral.